Molecule: ribosomal RNA, 265 nt
Filed under: uncultured archaeon
Lineage: Archaea
Description: partial 16S ribosomal RNA
Rfam family: Archaeal small subunit ribosomal RNA
Source: RNAcentral
ACACGACUACAUUAGAUACCCCGGUAGUCCUAGCCGUAAACGAUACUCGCUAGGUGUCGGCCACGGUGCGACCGUUGUCGGUGCCGUAGGGAAGCCGUGAAGCGAGCCACCUGGGAAGUACGGCCGCAAGGCUGAAACUUAAAGGAAUUGGCGGGGGAGCACAACAACGGGUGGAGCUUGCGGUUUAAUUGGACUCAACGCCGGGAAGCUCACCGGAUAAGACAGCGGAAUGAUUGCCGGGCUGAAGACCCUGCAUGACCAGCUG